This 3529-nucleotide ribosomal RNA is filed under the name Neurospora crassa OR74A. RNAcentral describes it as "eukaryotic LSU rRNA". The stretch from base 312 to 3424 matches the Rfam family "Eukaryotic large subunit ribosomal RNA". The record is from RNAcentral. Lineage: Eukaryota; Fungi; Ascomycota; Sordariomycetes; Sordariales; Sordariaceae.
AAAAUUUUUAAUAACGGAUCUCUUAGUUUUGGCAUUAAUAAAGAACGUAGCGAAAUACGAUAAGUAAUAUAAAUUAUAGAAUUUAGUAAAUUAUUGAAUUUUUAAAUAUAUAUUGUAUUUACUAGUAUUUUAGCAAGUAUGUUUAUUCGAACGUUAUUUCAAUUAUUAAGUUCUAUUUACGUUAGGGAUCCGCGGUUAUCCGCGGUCCUUUAAAAUUAAUAAUAGGCUUAUUAAUUAUACCGAGUAUAGUAAUUCUAUAUCGCUAUAGUUGUACGGCAGGUUCUUACUGUAAAACCCCCUAUUUCUAAGGUUGACCUCGGAUUAAAUAGAAAUACCCAUUGAAUUUAAAUAUAUUAAUAAGCGGAAGAAAAAAAACUAAUAGGGAUUGCCUUAAUAAUAGCGAAUAAAGCAGUAAUAAUUUAAAUUUAAAAUUUAACUUCGGCCCGAAUUAUAAUUUAUAAAGGAAGCUUUUAGUAAGGUACCUUCUAAAUCCUUUAAAACGGGGCAUUAUAAAGGGUAAGAGCCCUAUAUAGUUGGAUACCGAUUUAAUAUAAAGCUCCUUCAACGAAUUAAAUAAUUUAGGAAUAUUAUUUAAAAUAGGAGGUAAAUUUCUUCUAAAAUUAAAUAUUAGCUAAAGAUUAAUAAUAUAUAAGUAGAGUAAUUAAAAAAUAAAAAGCACUUUAAAAAAAGGAUUAAAUAGUACGUAAAAUUAUUGAAAGGGAAGUAUUUAUAAUUAGAUUUACAUUAUUCCGAUUAUCCAGUAUUCUUAUUAAUAUAUUUAGGAUAAUUUAAACUAAUAUUAAUUUUAGUAGAGGGAUAAAGGUCCGGGGAAUAUAGUUCCUCCAGGAAUAUUAUAGUCUUAGGCGUAAUACCUUCGUUGGGACCGAAGUUCGUAUAUUUAUAAGGAUAUUAGUAUAAUAGUUAUUAACGACCCGUUUUAAAAUAUAGAUUAAGGAAUUAAAGUUUUAUACAAGUAUUUAGGUAUAAAACCCGUAUAUAUAAUAAAAGUGAAUAUAAGUGAGAGCUUCGGUAUAUUAUUAACCGAUUUUAAUAUAUUUGGAUAGAUUUGAGUAAGAGCGUUAAACCUUAAACUUAAAAGAUAAUAAAUUAUAUUUAGAUAGGGUGAAGCUAGAGGAAAUUCUAGUAGAGGUUCGUAGUGGUUUUGAUAUAUAAAUUGAUUAUUAAAUUUAAAUAUAGGAGCGAAAAAUUAAUUGAAUUAUUUAGUAGUUAAUUACUACCGAAAUUUCCCUUAGGAUAAUAGUAUUAUUCUUUAAUUUUAUAAGGUAAAGCGAAUAAUUAAGGACUCGGGGGCGCUUUUUAACCUUUAUUUAUUUUUAAACUUUAAAUAUAUAAGAAACCCUUAUUAUUUAAUUGAAUAUAAGUAUUCGAAUAUAUUAAUAUUAGUAGGCUAUUUUUAAUAAAUAGAAUUAGUAAUACGGAAUAAACCGAACGCAAAGUUAAAGUAUUGGAGUAGAUAUUUAUUAAAUACUAUAAAAAACAUUAAUAUAUUUUAAUAGUAGGAUAAUAAUUAUAAAAGUUAAAAUUUGCUAAGGAUUAUAUAAUAAUUUACUUACCGAAUGUACUAGCCCUAAAAAUAGAUAGCGCUUAAGCGUCCUACUUAUAUUCCGCCUUUAAGGUAGAAAUAAUAUUUUAAGGAAUAGGCGGCCGUAGAAGUUAAUAACGAAGUUUAGGGCGUAAGCCCGGGUCGAACAACUUCUAAUAUAAAUUUUAGUAAUAGUAAUAAAUAUUUUAAUAAGAAUUUGAAGGACCGAAGUAGGGAAAGGUUCUAUAUAAAUAGCGGUUGGAUAUAGGUUAGUCGAUCCUAAACUAUAGGGAAGUUCCGUUUUAAAGGGGUACUUGUACUUCGUAUAGUAAAAAGGAAGCCGGUUAAUAUUCUAGUACUUAAAUAUAAGUUUUGUACAGCAAUAUAAUUGAAUGCGGAGACGACGGCGGGGGCCUUAGGUAGAGUUCUUUUUUCUUUUUAAUAAUUUAUUACUUUAAAAAUAAUUUAUUUGGAGAUAGGGUUUAAUAGCCGGAAGAGCCCAAUACUUUUAUUAGGUCCAAUAUAUUCUUAAUAUCCCUUAAAAAUCUAUAGGAGGGAAUAAUUCUUACACUAAAUUAUACUUAUAAUUAUAAUAAGUUUUUAAGGUGAAUAGCCUUUAAUUAAUAGAAUAAUAUAGAUAAAGGAAGUUAGUAAAAUAGAUCCGUAAUUUCGGGAAAAGGAUUAACUUUAAGGGUUAGGUAUAUUGGGUUUUGGGUAGACGUCUUAGGAGUAGAUUACUAUUAGCCGGGCAAUUAGUUAACGGUUUUUAAUAUCCGGGUAUAGAAGUCUUUAAUAGACUUCGGUCGUCUAAUAUAUAUUUAAUAAUUAAUUUAAAAUUAGUACGGAUAGGGGGAAUUUGAUUAUUUAAUUAAAAUAUAGUAUUACAAUAGUUAAAAAAUAGUAUUAACGUAAUAUAAUUUUUGUUUAGUAUUUUGAAUAUUAAAGUGAAGAAAUUUAAUUAAGCGCGGGUAAAUAGUGGGAGUAAUUAUAAUUUUCUUAAGGUAGCUAAAUACUUUAUUAUUUAAUUAGUAAUAUAUAUAAAUAGAUUAACGAGAUUCCUAUUAUCCUUAUCUAUUAUUUAGCGAAAUUAUAGUUAAGGGAAUAGGUUUAGUAGAAUUAGUAGGGAAAGAAGACCCUAUUGAAUUUAAUUUUAAUUUAAUAUUAUAAAAAAAUAUAAGAAGUAUAGAAUAAGUAGGAACUUUGGCGCUAGUAAAAUAUUAUUAUUCCUAUUAUUUUUUUACUUAUUUAAUUAAGCGGAGCUAGAUUUUCGUUUAAUUUUUAGUUUUAAAGUCCUUCGCGGGCCGACUUGGGUUAAAAAUAUUAUUAAGUAGGGAGUUUAGUUAGGGCGGUAUAUUUAUUAAAUUAUAAUAUAAGUGUUCUAAGGGGGGCUUAUAGAGAAUAGAAAUUUUUAGUAGAAUAAAAGGGUAAAAGUCCUUUUGAUUUUGAUUUUUAGUAUAAAUAUAAAUUAUGAAAGUAUAACCUAUCGAUCCUUUAGUCCUUCGAAAUUUAAGGCUAGAGGUACUAAAAAAAUUACUAUAGGGAUAAUUGGUUUGUAGCGGUUAAAUGUUUAUAGUAAUAUUAUUUUUUAAUCUUUUAAUAUUAGUUCUUCUUAUUAUAUUGAAGUAGAAUUCGGUAAGUGUUAGAUUGUUUAUUUAUUAAUAGGGAAUAUGAGCUGGGUUUAGAUUAUUGUAAGAUAGGUUAGUUUUACUUUAUUAAUAACUUUAUUAUAAUAGUAAUUAAAUUUAGUACGAAAAGAACCGUUUAUUUAAAUAAUUGGUUUUUAUAGUUAUCUAACUAGGUAGUACUAUAAUACUACUAUCUAUUAGAUAAUAAUUAAACGCUUUUAAAUUAGAAUUUAUACUAGAAUAUAAUAAUACUUCUAAUACAUUAUAAAUAUAUAAGAAUAGGUUCUAGCCUUAUAUUUUAAUAAGCGAUUCCUCUAUUGGUUUUAAAGUAGCUAGUAGUAAUUUACGUAUUAUAAUUUUA